This is a long non-coding RNA of Myotis myotis, 485 nucleotides long. RefSeq lists it as uncharacterized. NCBI's taxonomy places the organism in Eukaryota, Metazoa, Chordata, Mammalia, Chiroptera, Vespertilionidae. The record is from RefSeq and is a predicted model, not a curated record. The transcript has 4 exons.
UCGUUCCUCUAACACAGACCUCCUCUAGCUCUCAGGCCUGAGCUCCUGAGAGAAAGUCCCCAGACCUACACAGAUCAUGAGAGACUCGGCCGCACAGCAGAGAGGCAGAGGCACAUGGGUGCUAACUUCCCAAAAAAAACAAUGAUGAAGUGCUCUUCCUGUCCAACUGGCAAGUCUAUGACUUUAACUUCCACCGCUGAGCUCCCAGAGCACAACCAGGACUGACCUGGCCAUCUCUAUCUACUCCCUGGGACUCUGUGGUUCUUGGCGCCUGCACCGGGAGGAUUCCUCAGUGUCCCAUUUCUGUCAUUGGUGGGAAGCUGGCUCUGUCCUGUAGGAGAAGGCAGAAACCAGUUUUCCUCCUUGUCCAAUGAGUCAUCAGUCAAAGACUUGGGAUUGCCCUGCCUCAGACACCUGAAGAGGCAGUGAGUCUCUACGAUGUAUCAUGGCAGCCUCAUCUCACUCUUCCUCUGCCUCCAGAUGGC